CAGCAUCUCCGUGCCCUCAGGACAGCUGUGCUGAGCUGGGGGAGGAAGCUGCCAGCGUGUCCUGCUGUCCUGGCGGCCGUCUGAGGCUGCCUUUGCUCCGGAUGCAUGGCCAGAUGCUCCCUUCUGCAGCAGGGCUGCGAGCAGGAGCAGGCUGCGGGGAUGAGAACCACGUUCCCUCUUUCGGUGGUGGAGCCGCCACGUGCCCGUGAUUGUGCUACGGAGGCUGCCUGCGAUGCGGCUCGCAAUAAGGAAAACCCAAAGGUAAUGCUUCUGGGCCGUGGCACGUGCAGGCAUCAGCCUUUCUCUUAAGGUCGUGCUCCCCCCUCAGCUGUACGCCGCUUGGAGCGCCUGCCGUUCCCAGCACAGCCGUUGCACCCCGACCCCAUUUCACCCGAGGCUCGUGACCCGGGAUCCUUGCAGAAAGCACCGCGCUCCUCGAGCUUGCAGCCGCGCCUUUGCACGGACACUUCCCAUUUGAAGCUGCCCUUUCCCUCCGCUGGCCUUGGCUUUGGACAGGCGCUGGGGGGUGGUUUGAAUGUGAGCCACUUUGCCGCUUCUGAGCGAGCAGACCUGGGGGUGCCCUGUGCGAGGGGCCAGGGAGGAUGGCGGAGAAACUCCCCGGGCUGCAGAGAGGUUCUGGCAGCAGGUGCUGAGCUGCAGGGUUUGACAAUGCUGCAGUCUUCCCGGAGCAGUGACCACAGGUCACCUGGACCGUGCUUUAUUGCACCGUGAUGUUCCUUCUUGCUCGUGUGCGGUGUUGCACAUGGUUGGCUUUAUUCAUUGCAGCAUUUCUGUGUAGUAGGCAAAUGAGACCCAGUACCAAACCCUCCUCCCAAAGCCAACUUCUCUGCAGUUGGCUUUGAGCUUGGGCAGCCUGAGCUGCUCCAGGACCCGUUCCUGCCUAUGCUUCCUGGUCCCGUGAGGCGAGAAAUACUCAUGCCUACGAGGCAGGCAAGCUCCCCUGCAGACAGCAAGGCUCCCCGGGUGCUGCUGCUGGGUGAGGGGCUUUGGGGGAUGCCCCGAGUCCUGCCCUGCGGGAGCAAAGCUUCACUUCCCAGAGGAAAGUGAAAGGCCAGCUAUGCAGAAACCAGCUGUACCCAGGUCACCUGGCCUGACGCUCCUGUGAGGACGCACAAUUCAGCACUCGGACACAGCUUAUGCCUGGUGAGAAAGGGAUGUUGCCCUCUUUCAUUUAACCUUCGUUGCCCCCCAGGUUGACCUGUAGUGCGGAGACUCCCAGCUGGGCACCAGGUCAACCCCAUGCGUUCCUAUGGCAGGUGGACCUGUUGUCUGGAGAGCUGAGGCCAGGCACCGGUCAACAGCGUGGACCACAGCCCCCCUCCCUUCUGUCUGUAGUCCGGUCUCGAGACAAAUUGCCCUCUGCAAGGGGCCCUGCCCCCAGUGUCUGGGGCCGACCAAGGCUUCACAGCACUGUGUUCAGCAAGGUUGCUCCUUCCCAAGCUCUGGCCCAGCCAGUGGUGCAGGGGGCUGGACCCGAUGC
Long non-coding RNA from Alligator sinensis (Chinese alligator), 1501 nucleotides. RefSeq lists it as uncharacterized. Lineage: Eukaryota; Metazoa; Chordata; Crocodylia; Alligatoridae. The record is from RefSeq and is a predicted model, not a curated record. The transcript has 3 exons.